This 2125-nucleotide long non-coding RNA is filed under the name Homo sapiens (human). RNAcentral's name for it is "HSALNT0323923". Lineage: Eukaryota; Metazoa; Chordata; Mammalia; Primates; Hominidae. The record is from RNAcentral.
AGCAUUGUCUGAACACAGUGGUCAAAUGCUAUCAAGUGAAUGAGAAAUCAUCACUCAGUUCAACAUUUAUUGAACACCACAAUGCUAGAAUCUAGGAAUUCAACUGUGAAUAAGGAAGUUAUGGUGUACUCUCUGUAAACUUCUCAUAAAUAAUGUCUAAAAUACAACAACAUUCCUAUUGAUGUAUAUUGCUUGCUUCCAAAGACUAUGACGCCUGUAUCCUCACACGUACAUCACCUUUAUUUUUCCUAUUCAGGAGUGGCCACAGGUACCAAAGGAUGGCACAUCAUACCAGGAAUUUGUUGAUCUAGUGCAGUGGAACUGCAAGGCAGAGUUCAGCGGUAUCGGGAUCAAAGGAUUAGGAAGCCGCAGCUUUAAGGGAGGCAAGCAGCAUGAGAAGACUUUGUGGAGGCAGCUCUGAGCAUUUUAUAAGAAUAAAUUGAGGCCCUGCAAGGAUUAAGGAAUCUGUACAAAGUCACACGCAGGCUGAACUAUGAAAAGCAACUAGAGGACAUUCUCCCCCUUGAAGAUAAUCACUUUUAUUGUUGCCGGGUCAAAGAUUCAGAUUCCACGCAGCAACCUCUGACUAAAGAACAGCAAGUCCUUUCAGAUUUCUUCUUUCGGUGGAUCGUGUAAAUUAGUGAGUUGCUUUCACGUCUUUUGGCCAGCUUCAGAGAAGAAUGAAGUACCCAAUGCUUGGUGAGAGGCAGUCCAUGUUCCGGAUGUAAAGCACUUCUCACUAUAUUAAUUGUCCGCUGGCUUAAUUUUUUCAUAUUCUGUCGAAUGCACUUUGCCUGCGUGUACGAAGGCAGCUUCCUCAUCAGAUGUGAGUUGGGAGCAUCCACAUGUACUCCACUGAUGCUCCCCAAACUUCCAAGAUAAAAAUUUCCACAAGGGGAAGAUAGCAGUCAAAUGUGAGAAGAAUAAUUUGCAAAUAGAUAAAUACGCAAAUAAAUAAAACUGUUCAUGGAGUUGUCUACUGGAAAACGAUGUGCCAAGGGCACAAUGAGCGAAAGUGAAGCUUGACAAUGAGUUAGGUCGCCAGAUGUGGCGCGGUGAUUUGGGGGGGCCCAGGGGAGCACCCAUGAGGAGAAAGGCUGGGUGUAAAUCAGUCAUAGCAACGCUCCACUGCACCUGGGGGGCCCUGAGGAAAUACGUUAGUGGUGAAUCAAGAGCCAGGCUCCAAGGCCCUGAGGCCAGUGUGCUGGGAGAGGGGCGUGUCAGAGGCACAUGGGAGAGGUGGGCCUGAAGACAGAGAGAAGCUCUAAGUCAAGCAAAGACCCAGGUUUCUAGAAGUGGUCAUGCAAAUAGCUGAGGUUCGCAGAUUCUAUUAUUUAAUAAUUAAAUGUAAAGAAGCAUUUAGCUUACGUCAACUAUUUUAGUUAGGAGAGCAAUAGUCACAAAGCAGCAGUUGUGAAAUUUAUAUGGAUUGGAAAAGGGUGUGAUAGACACGGGGUGGAAGAGUUUCCAUUUGUUUUGUUUUAAGCCACGGUCAAUGUGGGCUUUCAAAGUCAGAUGCCGAAGGAGGAAUUAAAUUAUCCAGUGAGUAUUAGAGAGUUAUUCUCAAACCGUAUUUUACUGUAAGAUGGGGUUAUUUUAAAUUCAGAAAAGCUAAUGAGCAUAAAGAAGACUGCAAAUCUUCUGGGACCAUGUGUCAGCUGAUCCACAGCUGCUGCAACCGAAAAGUCACAAAGCUUGCUGGGAAAUGGAGAACAAUGCAGACUCAGUUGUCAUGAAUAUCUUAUGUGAAGUUACUUUUUAGAGAAAUCUCCAAAUGCAAUCUCUAUAGGCAAACAUAUACAUUUGUAUAUAGAAAGAGUAAAGCUGUAAUCUUCAUUGAACACAGAGAUUUGUUUCUUUUGGGUUUUUUUAAAUUUGCAUUUCAUUGUUUUUCAUGAAAAUGAAUUUAAUGCUUGAAUUCUGUACAAGCAUCACAGGAAAAGGCUAUCAGGAAUCUGCAAGAGCCAUACAAGGUGUCCCUUAGAUAAAUAAUGGUCAGGAAAGGAAAUGUGUGAAUGAAAAGACCACGAUGUGCUGACUACGUUGAGGCACUGAGCAGAACAGACAGUGGGAGGCAACGACUGAGACAACCUGAGUUGAAAAAUAGUGUCUGGAAGACGCAGGG